Molecule: unclassified non-coding RNA, 1997 nt
Filed under: Hevea brasiliensis (rubber tree)
Lineage: Eukaryota; Viridiplantae; Streptophyta; Magnoliopsida; Malpighiales; Euphorbiaceae
Source: RNAcentral
AUGUGACUGUGGAACCCUUUUCUCCAGGUAUUUUUUUUCUUUCUUCUUUUCUUGGCAUCUUUCUUUCAAUUUUUUCCCCCUUUUUUUCAAAAAUAUAAAUAAAUAAAUGCUUUUUUGGUCUUUAUAUCUUUAUUAUGUUCGUCUGAAAUUCCCAAUGUUCCCAACUUUACGAGUUUUGAUGUUUCACAGUUAUUCAUCAUUUUGGACUGAUAUUGGAAGUCACAGCAAAUAUUGGUCUUUUGUUUAAAGUGGGAAGUCUCAUGUCUAUCUAAUGGUGUUUGUAUUUUGUUUCAAUCGGCUUUGUUUUUGUACAAGAGUGGGUAAGCUCUGCAUGGAAUAUAUCUGAUGCUUAAAUUUAUUGGCAGGUUGCAUAGAAGUGGACACCAUUAAUACUAGUGUCUGUUACUGAUGACAUUACAAGAGUAACUGAAAGCAAUAUCACUGAAAAUCUGAACCUGCCAAUAAGUUCAUAUUUGAAAAGAACAAAAAGAAAUAAAAACAUAUAUAUAAUCUUUUGUUUUAUGUAUGCUUUCUCUUUAAUCCAAGAGCAUUACUUUUCUCCUGUGUCCUUUGCAUUGAAUGCCUGCGUAAGCACUGAUUCAGAUUUUUCUUUUUUUUUUUCCAAAGGAUUCAGAUUUUUCUUGAUUGGGGAUUCUGUGAAAUUAACAUAUAUACGAAAUCUUUCAUUUCAUGUUUUAAAUUGUUACAAAGAAGUUCGCUGCACUGGAGGGUGUUUCUCUUGAACUGUUCUUGCUUUUUUCCAGUGUGUUUACCUUUUUUGGUACUUUGUAAUGGAGUGACUGCAGUCUCAAAAACAAUGAUGAAUAUUUCUGCUUCUCCAAGAAAAAGUGAAUGGGAAAAAGAUCUUAAUUGCUGUUUGGUUUCAAUAUUUUAUGGCUGAGAAAACCCGUGAUAAUAUUUUCAUGAAGCAUGCCAUGAUUUAGCUGCAGAACAUACUGAGGCUCUGACCCUUGAUCAUGAUGAUGAGAACUGAUAAAUCUGCAAAAAUAUCUGUUAUUCUGAUUUGCUUUCAUUUUCCUUCAUCUAUAAUAAGAUAUAUACUUGUGGUUUCAAUUUGCACAUCUAGGUUAAAUGCGCGAGCACAAGUUUCAAAAGGCUUGCAAUUUCUUGAAAUUUUGAGCUGACCAUCCAUAUGCCUAUUUCUCAUGCGGCUGCCUUGCAUCUCUCUCUCUCUCUCUACUUCAGUUUUGACUAAAACAGAUAGUUCUACUUUUGCAUUAUCUAGCUUUAUUUCAAUCAUGUAUCCAUCCAAUCAGCAUGCAAGACGCCCUACUAGUGUCUCGAACUUCUCAUCUCUAUUAGCUUUAUCAAGAAGAGAACAAAUUAUAGCGUAGUCAUUUCACUUAAUUUGCUUAAUUAACCACAUACUCUAUUCAUUUAUCUCUUCAUUAGUCAAGAUUUCUUUUCUUUUCUAUUCUUUUUUCUCUUAUCCUACCAAUUUUAUAAUAAUCUAUCCCAUGUUCUUAGCUAGUUCAUACCAUGCAGAUUCCAUAAAUUAAUAGAAUCAUUCAAAUGCUAUAUACACCCCAUUAAUUAGUACUUUAUCAAGUAAUCCCAUCAUUCUCCGUUGCUUGUUCAUUCCUGGCUCAGCAUUUUCAAACUAAACUAACAUUUUCUCUUUACGUGUGCUUGGAUUUUGAAACCACAGGAAGGAUAGCUUCAUAACCCACAGGGCAUUCUGUGAUGCAUUAGCAGAAGAAAGUGCAAGGCUCUCAGCUCACCAAUUAGUUUCCACAAAUCCUACAGCCCAAUCUCUUCUUCUACAAAACCCACAACCCCACCCUUCUUUCUUCCCCCUCACUACCCACCACCAUCAUCACCUUUCCCUCAACCCUUGGGACCCACCUCCUCAAAACCCUAGCAACCCUCAAAACCCAGUUCAUAUCAAGCCUGAAACUCACCAUUUCCAGCUUCCACCGCUCUUCCAAGAACCGCCACCAUCCUUGCCAACCCAUAAGGGUUUGAUAGCCUCAUCC